RNAcentral lists this ribosomal RNA (253 nucleotides) under uncultured bacterium. Its description in RNAcentral is "partial 16S ribosomal RNA". It matches the Rfam family "Bacterial small subunit ribosomal RNA", at positions 524 to 776 of the family's 1533-position model. The record is from RNAcentral.
UACGUAGGAUCCAAGCGUUGUCCGGAUUUACUGGGUGUAAAGGGUGCGCAGGCGGACUUGUUAGUCAGAGGUGAAAUCUCACGGCUCAACCGUGAAACUGCCUUUGAUACUGCAGGUCUUGAAUUGGGGAGAGAGUUGUGGAAUUCCGAGUGUAGCAGUGAAAUGUGUAGAUAUUCGGAAGAACACCAGUGGCGAAGGCAGCAACUUGGCCCCAGAUUGACGCUCAGUCACGAAAUCAUGGGGAUCAAACAGG